UGUAACACUCUUGCAUCAGGGAUGGCAACUCGUAGUGAAGCCACGAAGGCAGCUGAGGCUGUGCUUCAGUGGCAUGAGCUUGAGUGGCAUAAACAGGACAACAAGAGGAUGCUCCAUGCGGUUUACCGUGUCGGGGAUCUGGACCGCAUAAUCAAGGAUGUUACUAUAUUGUAAGUGACAUUUGCAACAUCUGCAAGUAAUAUCAUGGCUUUGAUGUGAUCUUUGUCAUUGUGGGAGGUAAUACACAGAAUGCUUUGGGAUGAAACUGCUGAGGAAAAGAGAUGUUCCUGAUGAGAAGUACACCAACGCCUUCCUUGGUUUUGGACCAGAGGACACCAACUUCGCACUUGAAUUGACAUAUAGUAUGUUCACUGAGCUGCCAAAAGUUUUGUGGCACAGUUUCUCCAAUAUGCCACUUAUGUUUGCAGUUGUACAAUAUGUAUCAAACCAAUAAGGAAAAUACAUUUAUCUCUUCAUAUGAACUGACCAACUCUUUUCCUGGUAAAGCAUUUCAAUUUUCGGUAACUUGUACUGUGCUAAAAAUUUACCCUUGCUCAACAGACUAUGGUGUUGACAAGUAUGACAUUGGAGAGCGCUUUGGGCAUUUCGGAAUCGCUAACGAGGAUGCAGUAUUAUCAAUUUGCAAUAGCCUAUGUCGAUGCUGUGAAAUUAUUAUAUUCAUAUGAUAUGAUGGAUGCAAAUUUUUAUUAUUUAGAUCAUGGAUGCAAAUGCAGGUGUACAAGUUGGCUGAGCAUGUUAAAUCCAAGGGUGGCAAUAUCACUCGUGAACCUGGUCCUGUCAAGGGAGGAUCCACUAUUAUUGCCUUUGCACAGGACCUGAUGGCUACAGGCCCUUGGGAUGAAGCUACUAACGAAGGACGUACCUGAUUAUAAGGAGGACUUGAGCAGCGUGGCUUGCGCGGCGGCGGAGAGGAAGGGGUGGGAGGAGAGGAGGCGGAGCAGGGUGGGCACCGCCAGAGACAGCCGCAGAGCACGCGCCAUCUCGUUGAGCGAAGUGGACGAGUUGUGCUGUUCGUUUACUUCCUGAUGAUCACGCUGGGCGCAGCCAAGGGGACUGCAAUCGACCUGGCCAAGUUCGUCGACAAGUGACAGGAACUUUAAAGGCAUAAUAUGACCAGCACUCAACUUAGUGCUAGAUGAAGCGGUUGAGUCUGAAAGAGAAUGAAGUUACCAGGGAAAGGGAAAACCAGACAGCUUGGCCUCAUUGCGUGCAGGAGCACGGCGGUCAUGCUGGUCUCACCAUGAGAUGGCGAACCCUUUCCUCGCCGAUGGGGCAUAAGCUUGCAUUGGUUGGUUAUAUACUCCUAUUUAGAACCCGAACGUUUUAAUUUUCACUGCACAAGUUCAAAUAUUGACCCUUGGUUGCUAAAGUGCUGCUGCUGCUAAGUAACUCUGUGUUUUUUCUGUUAAGAAUUAAUUAACUUAUGUUAAUUAGGGAUAAUCCCUGCCUCUCCCCUAACCACCGUCGCUUGCUAGGCAGCGGACGCGACUAUUGGCUCGUGUCUUUCUUCUAAAAGACACCUCUUGUAACACACCCUUUGGGAGGGUAUAAAUACCCACAUCAGUGAAUAAGAAAGUGCUGUUCGUUUGCUUUA
Long non-coding RNA from Triticum dicoccoides, 1615 nucleotides. RefSeq lists it as uncharacterized. Lineage: Eukaryota; Viridiplantae; Streptophyta; Magnoliopsida; Poales; Poaceae. The record is from RefSeq and is a predicted model, not a curated record. The transcript is spliced from 6 exons.